Molecule: long non-coding RNA, 394 nt
Filed under: Prunus persica (peach)
Lineage: Eukaryota; Viridiplantae; Streptophyta; Magnoliopsida; Rosales; Rosaceae
Description: long non-coding RNA (PPER_LNC006447)
Source: RNAcentral
UGAGCUCACGUUACCACACACACUGCGACCCGAGGCUUAAUGCUUCUCAGGCUCUUGAGCUAUCCUUUAUCAUCGCAGAACGACUUAGGAAGAGAAGGAUUGGAACUCAACGGUCACUCUCUUUAGGCCUCUAAACAACUUCGAAAGUCCUGCAUCAUUUCAAAUGAUUGUUUGUACUUGGUAGAAAAUAAAGUUCGUAUGGGUUAUCCAGCAAACUGCAUAUUGCAGCCAUCACAUUGCUCCACCUGCAGGCUUGUGAUAGUGUCAAACAAUCAAGAGCAACUACAAAAUUCCUGAGAAAGAGAAUCUAGUAAGGCCUCAGAUUGCAGGCUGCAAAAGCAAGAUGCUGGAGAUAAAAGCUUGUAAAAUUUUUAUAAUUUAAUUUGUAUUUGGA